RNAcentral lists this ribosomal RNA (323 nucleotides) under uncultured eukaryote. RNAcentral's name for it is "partial 18S ribosomal RNA". It matches the Rfam family "Eukaryotic small subunit ribosomal RNA", at positions 1470 to 1796 of the family's 1831-position model. The record is from RNAcentral.
CCCUUAGAUGUUCUGGGCUGCACGCGUGCUACACUGAUAUUGCCAAUAUGUCAUUCUUAUCCGAAAUGGAUUGGGUAAUCAAGUAAUGAAAUUUCAUGCUUGGAAUCGGUAAUUGCAAUUUUAUCGUGAACGAGGAAUUCCUAGUAAGCACUAGUCAUCAGCUAAUGUUGAUUAUGUCCCUGCCAUUUGUACACACCGCCCGUCGCUACUACUGAUUGGGUGUUCAAGUGAGAUGCUUAGACCCUUGUUGCAUGGUUCAUUAUUGUGCUCCGAAAGGAAAAAGUUUCAAGCUUGAGUGUCUAGAGGAAGUAAAAGUCGUAACA